UAGCAUGCUUUGGGUAACAGAAAAGAGGCUGGGACACCUGCAGCAACGUGACAGAGAGAAGAGAGACAGAAUUAGGAAAUUUGGAUUUGACACUUAAUGUGGUAAGAGUCACAGGAGGGUUUUAAGCAUUAGAGUCAUGGGACUCAACUACGAUUUUCCUCCUGAUGCUUGGACUACUUGACCUCUCAUUCUCUCAAGGUCUCACUCAAUUCAAGACUCCCUCCUCAUGAGGCUCUGUCCUUCAAAUUGUAACUCACUUAAUUUUGUUCUUAGCCCUUAAUCACAUAUAACACCCCACAGAAUGUCUAACUUCAUCUACUCGUCAUUGCCAUAUCUAACUCAUGGCAGAUGCUCAAUAUAAGCUUGUUGAAUGUAUAAAACUAAGGCUUAAAAUCAGUUCGGGGGCUCCAGUUAAGAGUGAGUACUAUUCUUCCAAAGGACCAGACAGUUCACAGCAGUCACUCAACAGCGGCUAACACCGAUCUCCAGGGAAUCCAAAGUCAACACAAACAUCUAUACCCCCAUACACACACACACACACACACACACACACACACACACACACACACACACCAGUCACAGGCACACCUGAAUACACACUAUUAAAAAUAUUUUUUUAAAAAUCAAUUUGAGUAGCAAGGCUAAAUUAUGACGAGGGCAACUAUAACGGUCCAAGGAAGAGAGAGCAGGGUCACCUGAGGGCUGGUAGCCUGGGGGUUUCCCUUGAGGCUACACCUAACAGGUUAGAUGAGGAAAAUGUUUGCAUUGACGAGAGAAAACAUAACAUUUUCCUACCGGACAGAGAACUGAAGGGAAUACAGUACCCAGAAGAAGGGGGAGGCUAUAGCAUUCUCUUGAUUGCUCUGUAGUGAGGGCUUUGAGAAGUCCAAUGUGACAAAUCAGAUUUUGACCAGAACACUAGAAUACUGUAGUGUCACCUGAAAGGUCACUAUCACACCAGCAUCUUUUUUUUUUCUUUUUUAAAUCAGGAUGCUUAAGAUCCAAGUCGGGUUUUACAUUUUUGUAAGCCCUACUGAGUACUACACCCACCACCACCACCAUAAAUUAAUCUCCCGCUCUGUUCCUCUAGCAGCGCAUCUUAACAUGUAAAAUCGCGGGCUGUCAGAAUCAAACAUGUGAACUGAACCACAGCUCCAUCACCUGUGUGUCACCUCGAUCAAGUUACUUAAACCUCUCUGAGCUGGUUCCUUGGCUGUGAUGAGUAACACUUACUGCUAUUGCUUUACCUCAAGGGACCGUGAGCCCUGAAAGAUUGCUGGUAGCUGCUUUCACGUCCCUAGCUGGUGGCAGCAAUCACAAUGAUUGAUUAAGUACACCUCGCGUCGGAGCAACAGCUUCAACUGAGACUCCAUGACAGGUAAAGCGGUUAGCUUGCUUUGGUUCAAGCUUUCCUCACUGGCCAGCAGGCAUUUCAGAUGCUUUGCUAAACUCGGGCCUUAAGGGGAUGAAUUUGACCAAACCCAAGGGAAACGCCAAAGCGCCAGUCAAUAUGGAUGAAAUUCCCCUCGCCUUGAGCUUUUCCACAUAGCAAGAUCGAAAGCUCUUCCCAAAAAAGCGGGCAUUCUGUUCCAACCCGGUGACCGAACGGGUCCCGAAUCCGUUAUUGUGCAAACAAGGCGCCCAGGGCUGUCGGGAAGCAGGGUAGACUCGGACAUUCGGACUCUGGCGUGAGGGCCCGGGAGGUGGGGAUCUAGGGGCAACAUGGGCGAAGGGUGGGAUUACCCGACUGCCGCUGUCGCCUGGAUGGUCUCCGCGGCCGUCCCGGGCGAAGUCGGCGCGGGACUCGCCUCGAAUGCUGCCUCGGAAGCCACCCAGGCCAGGAGAAUAAAAGCAUCCAACUGAGGAAUCCCGAGACCACUGGGCAUGUGAGACAUCAGAAGAAAAAGGACGGAACUUCAAGACCGGAUGUCCCAAGAAACGGAGUAAAUGGGCCAAGCGGUAUCACCCACCUCCCGCUGUUCUCUGCUGCCCCCUACAGACAUAAGUGGCAAAUGGUCUUUAUAUGGUCCCAAUUCAAUCAACAAUCAAAGCUGCCUUUGGUUGGAGCCAGUAAACACUGACUGAAAACAA
Long non-coding RNA from Rattus norvegicus (Norway rat), 2091 nucleotides. RefSeq lists it as uncharacterized. NCBI's taxonomy places the organism in Eukaryota, Metazoa, Chordata, Mammalia, Rodentia, Muridae. The record is from RefSeq and is a predicted model, not a curated record.